UGUAUCAUGUGACUCGUGUGUGUGUUCUCAGGUGCAGGUGUGUGUGACGGACAUCAUCAUGCUCAAAGGCUCUCGGUGAUCCGCUCCUUCCCAUGAUUCCUCACCAGGCCGCCCCAUGCCAACCCGUAACCAUGACGACCACUCGCCCCCGUGAGCCCCUCCGUCGCCCGGCGGCCGUUUGACUGGAUGAGGAACCCGGCCUCCAGUGAUGUGAUGCACAGGUUUGAGGUUCUUGGGAUUGUGGGGGAAGGAGCGUACGGGGUCGUCCUGAAGUGCAGACACAAGGUGUAAACACCUGUGACCUUUGACCCACGUCACAUCUGACAGGAACCCAC
RNAcentral lists this long non-coding RNA (335 nucleotides) under Sinocyclocheilus grahami. RNAcentral describes it as "lncRNA (ENSSGRG00000047010.1)". The record is from RNAcentral. Lineage: Eukaryota; Metazoa; Chordata; Actinopteri; Cypriniformes; Cyprinidae.